Molecule: transfer RNA, 51 nt
Filed under: Pinguinus impennis (great auk)
Lineage: Eukaryota; Metazoa; Chordata; Aves; Charadriiformes; Laridae
Description: partial tRNA-Val
Source: RNAcentral
AAAGCAUUCAGCUUACACCUGAAAGAUAUCUGACAUACCAGAUCGUCUUGA